UGUGUAGGCGGCCGCGCAAGUCGGAUGUGAAAGCCCCGGGCUCAACCCGGGAAGUGCACCCGAAACUGCGUGGCUUGAGUACCGGAGAGGUUGGUGGAAUUCUCGGUGUAGAGGUGAAAUUCGUAGAUAUCGAGAGGAACACCGGUGGCGAAGGCGGCCAACUGGACGAGUACUGACGCUGAGACACGAAAGCGUGGGGAGCAAACAGGAUUAGAUACCCUGGUAGUCCACGCCGUAAACGAUGGGUGCUAGGUGUCACGGGCUUUGACUCCUGUGGUGCCGUAGCCAACGCAUUAAGCACCCCGCCUGGGAAGUACGGCCGCAAGGCUAAA
This 332-nucleotide ribosomal RNA is filed under the name uncultured bacterium. Its description in RNAcentral is "bacterial SSU rRNA". It matches the Rfam family "Bacterial small subunit ribosomal RNA", at positions 568 to 898 of the family's 1533-position model. RNAcentral also lists the same sequence under 1 other name. The record is from RNAcentral.